UACGUAGGGCGCAAGCGUUGUCCGGAAUUAUUGGGCGUAAAGAGCUCGUAGGCGGCCUGUCGCGUCCGCUGUGAAAUCCCGGGGUUUAACCCCGGGCGUGCAGUGGAUACGGGCUGGCUGGAGGCAGGCAGGGGAGAACGGAAUUCCCGGUGUAGCGGUGAAAUGCGCAGAUAUCAGGAAGAACACCCGUGGCGAAGGCGGCUCUCUGGGACGGUACUGACGCUGAGACGCGAAAGCGUGGGGAGCGAACAGG
RNAcentral lists this ribosomal RNA (253 nucleotides) under uncultured bacterium. RNAcentral's name for it is "partial 16S ribosomal RNA". It matches the Rfam family "Bacterial small subunit ribosomal RNA", at positions 524 to 776 of the family's 1533-position model. The record is from RNAcentral.